RNAcentral lists this ribosomal RNA (484 nucleotides) under uncultured bacterium. RNAcentral describes it as "partial 16S ribosomal RNA". It matches the Rfam family "Bacterial small subunit ribosomal RNA", at positions 29 to 507 of the family's 1533-position model. The record is from RNAcentral.
AUUGAACGCUGGCGGCAUGCUUUACACGUGCAAGUCGAACGGCAGCGCGGGCUUCGGCCUGGCGGCGAGUGGCGAACGGGUGAGUAAUACAUCGGAACGUGCCCAGUAGUGGGGGAUAGCUCGGCGAAAGCCGGAUUAAUACCGCAUACGACCUGAGGGUGAAAGCGGGGGAUCUUCGGACCUCGCGCUAUUGGAGCGGCCGAUGGCAGAUUAGCUAGUUGGUGGGGUAAAGGCCUACCAAGGCGACGAUCUUUAGCUGGUCUGAGAGGACGACCAGCCACACUGGGACUGAGACACGGCCCAGACUCCUACGGGAGGCAGCAGUGGGGAAUUUUGGACAAUGGGCGAAAGCCUGAUCCAGCAAUGCCGCGUGUGUGAUGAAGGCCUUCGGGUUGUAAAGCACUGUUGGCGGGAACGAAAAGGACUGUGCCAAUACCACGGUUCGAUGACGGUACCCGCAGAAUAAGCACCGGCUAACUACGUG